RNAcentral lists this ribosomal RNA (253 nucleotides) under uncultured bacterium. RNAcentral describes it as "partial 16S ribosomal RNA". It matches the Rfam family "Bacterial small subunit ribosomal RNA", at positions 524 to 776 of the family's 1533-position model. The record is from RNAcentral.
UACGAAGGGGGCUAGCGUUGCUCGGAAUCACUGGGCGUAAGGGGUGGGAAGGCGGGUUUUUAAGUCAGGGGGGAAAUCCUGGAGCUCAACUCCAGAACUGCCUUUGAUACUGAAGAUCUUGAGUUCGGGAGAGGUGAGUGGAACUGCGAGUGUAGAGGUGAAAUUCGUAGAUAUUCGCAAGAACACCAGUGGCGAAGGCGGCUCACUGGCCCGAUACUGACGCUGAGGCACGAAAGCGUGGGGAGCAAACAGG